CCUGUCAUCGUCUAGUGGUUAGGACACCAGGUUCUGAUCAUCAGUGCGUUCACCGUUCCAUCGUGUCUCCUGGUAACCCCGGUUCAAACCCGGGUGACAGGU
RNAcentral lists this transfer RNA (102 nucleotides) under Puccinia triticina. Its description in RNAcentral is "tRNA-Gln". It matches the Rfam family "tRNA". Rfam says of the family: Transfer RNA (tRNA) molecules are approximately 80 nucleotides in length. Their secondary structure includes four short double-helical elements and three loops (D, anti-codon, and T loops). RNAcentral also lists the same sequence under 1 other name. The record is from RNAcentral. Lineage: Eukaryota; Fungi; Basidiomycota; Pucciniomycetes; Pucciniales; Pucciniaceae.